This 68-nucleotide transfer RNA is filed under the name Anolis gundlachi. RNAcentral describes it as "tRNA-Tyr". It matches the Rfam family "tRNA". Rfam says of the family: Transfer RNA (tRNA) molecules are approximately 80 nucleotides in length. Their secondary structure includes four short double-helical elements and three loops (D, anti-codon, and T loops). Lineage: Eukaryota; Metazoa; Chordata; Lepidosauria; Squamata; Anolidae. The record is from RNAcentral.
GGUAAAGUGGCCGAGUAUUAGGCGGUAGGCUGUAAAUCUACUUACAUUGGUUUAGCCCUUUCUUUACU